Molecule: ribosomal RNA, 653 nt
Filed under: uncultured Thermoprotei archaeon
Lineage: Archaea; Thermoproteati; Thermoproteota; Thermoprotei
Description: bacterial SSU rRNA
Rfam family: Archaeal small subunit ribosomal RNA
Source: RNAcentral
AAACCACGAUAGGUCACGAUUUCUGGAAUGGAUCAUGGCUUAAAUCUACAUGGCCCCUGGAUUGGACUGCGGCCGAUCAGGCUGUUGGUGAGGUAAUGGCCCACCAAACCUAUAACCGGUACGGGCUCUGAGAGGAGAAGCCCGGAGAUGGGCACUGAGACAAGGGCCCAGGCCCUAUGGGGCGCAGCAGGCGCGAAACCUCUGCAAUAGGCGAAAGCCUGACAGGGUUACUCUGAGUGAUUUCCGCUAAGGGGAUCUUUUGGCACCUCUAAAAAUGGUGCAGAAUAAGGGGUGGGCAAGUCUGGUGUCAGCCGCCGCGGUAAUACCAGCACCCCGAGUGGUCGGGACGAUUAUUGGGCCUAAAGCAUCCGUAGCCGGUUCUGCAAGUCUUCCGUUAAAUCCAGCCGCUCAACGGAUGGGCCGCGGAGGAUACUACAGGACUAGGAGGCGGGAGAGGCAAGCGGUACUCAGUGGGUAGGGGUAAAAUCCUUUGAUCCAUUGAAGACCACCAGUGGCGAAGGCGGCUUGCCAGAACGCGCUCGACGGUGAGGGAUGAAAGCUGGGGGAGCAAACCGGAUUGGAUACCCGGGUAGUCCCAGCUGUAAACGAUGCAGACUCGGUGAUGGGCUAGCCUUGUGCCAGCCCAGUGCCGC